CAAGAACUGCAGGAUAGGACCUGAGCCAAAGUCAGAAGCUUACCGACGGAGCCACCCAGGUGCCGCUGUCCCAGAUUUCUCAUCUGGCUUUGGACCCCGCACUCCCCCAAGCUCAGGACAUCCUAAAAGCGUCCUCUCUGGAACACCCAGGUGGGCAAAUGAUGAGAGAACCCUGGUGUCCCUGCAACACUGCUUGGCCUCUUCUAGAACCUUCAAGAACCCAGAAUACAAGUUCCACUGUGAUCCGUUAAUGCAGGAAAGAAUUGUGUGGUUUGUUUAAGGAGAAGCAAACCCUCAGUGGAAACACACAUCUGCUGGGAUUUUGGAGAGAUUUUCUCUCAUCAACCUAGCAAGUCAGCAGUGGAAAACGCAUCUGUCCAUAGGUGGCAGAACCCAGGAAACAUUAAUUUUUGAACACAAUAGAAGAUGCCUUUGCUCACCUUUGUACCUUCCACAAUGAUUAACACAGUGCCUCAAACUGAAGACACAGGAGGAGGGAAAACAGCAGGUGAUAGGUUCCUCUCCUGGGAUAAUGACAUUUUUUUCCCAGCCAUCAACUCCUUACUGGACAUCUUUAGGUUUUCCUUUGGUUGCAUUCGCCUUCUCUUGCUCUGUCAAGAAAAAGCAAAAGGGAUUUUUCACAUUUAGCCUUUGGUUUCUGAAGCUGCUUAGGCACUGCAUCACGGGUAAAAUUUGGGUUAAAGAUAAUUGUAAAUAUGGUAUUGAUAUUAACUGAUGUUUUCCCAACAUUGCAAUAAUGCUUGUUUUGUUUGUUGGA
Felis catus (domestic cat) is the source of this 778-nucleotide long non-coding RNA. RefSeq lists it as uncharacterized. The record is from RefSeq and is a predicted model, not a curated record. Lineage: Eukaryota; Metazoa; Chordata; Mammalia; Carnivora; Felidae. The transcript has 2 exons.